This 301-nucleotide ribosomal RNA is filed under the name uncultured bacterium. Its description in RNAcentral is "partial 16S ribosomal RNA". It matches the Rfam family "Bacterial small subunit ribosomal RNA", at positions 509 to 807 of the family's 1533-position model. The record is from RNAcentral.
CAGCCGCCGCGGUAAUACGAGGGGGGCAAGCGUUGUUCGGAAUUAUUGGGCGUAAAGGGUGCGUAGGCGGCUUGACAAGUCUUGUGUGAAAUCUAUGGGCUCAACCCAUAGUCUGCACGGGAAACUGUCGGGCUUGAGAAUGGGAGAGAUGAGUGGAAUUUCCGGUGUAGCGGUGAAAUGCGUAGAUAUCGGAAGGAACACCUGUGGCGAAAGCGGCUCACUGGACCAUUUCUGACGCUGAUGCACGAAAGCUAGGGGAGCAAACAGGAUUAGAUACCCCUGUAGUCCCUGUCUCUUAUAC